UACGAAGGGUGCAAGCGUUAAUCGGCAUUACAGGGCGUAAAGCGUGCGUAGGUGGUUUGUUAAGUCUGAUGUGAAAGCCCUGGGCUCAACCUGGGAAUGGCAUUGGAUACUGGCUUACUAGAGUGCGGUAGAGGGAUGCGGAAUUUCCGGUGUAGCGGUGAAAUGCGUAGAGAUCGGAAGGAACAUCUGUGGCGAAGGCGGCAUCCGGGACCAGCACUGACACUGAGGCACGAAAGCGUGGGGAGCAAACAGG
This 253-nucleotide ribosomal RNA is filed under the name uncultured bacterium. Its description in RNAcentral is "partial 16S ribosomal RNA". It matches the Rfam family "Bacterial small subunit ribosomal RNA", at positions 524 to 776 of the family's 1533-position model. The record is from RNAcentral.